Chinchilla lanigera (long-tailed chinchilla) is the source of this 579-nucleotide long non-coding RNA. RefSeq lists it as uncharacterized. Lineage: Eukaryota; Metazoa; Chordata; Mammalia; Rodentia; Chinchillidae. The record is from RefSeq and is a predicted model, not a curated record. The transcript is spliced from 5 exons.
GUCUGAGGGGUGAUUAGGUCAUAAAGGCAGAGUCUAUACAAGCAGGGUCAGGUCUGAGGGAGCGGAGGACACAUAUGAGGCAACAUCUAUGAGAAAUGGGUCCUUAACAGACACAAUAUGGCACCGUCUUGAUCUUGAAUUACUGCUGAAAGAAGAUUCCCAGCCUCCAGAACUGAGGUUGCAACAGAGAAACAUGCCUAGCUUUUGAUAAGGCGACUCUAGGCUUCCUGGAGAACAUUUUCUGUGGCAGCAAGGUGCGGCCAGAGAGCAGACAAGGCCAGACCUCUCCUAGGUGCAGUGGAACAGGAGAGAAGAACUAUUUUAACCCUCAUUUGUAUUUUGUGGAGAGGCCACCAAUUUCCGUGAACUUGAACUCUUUUUCUCAGGUUCACAUAGCUGCCAAGGAGAGGAACUGGGACUCGAACCCACUGUGGAGUCAAUUCCAAAGAAGGAGCCUGAAGACCAUCUGGAACUCACUGAGCAUAGCUCUCCCUGAGAAGGGUGUCAUUUUCUUACAAACCAUUAUGAAGCACCUACUGUGGACCAGCCACUGAGUUCAGGACAGAGGCUAAAAGGAAG